This 202-nucleotide long non-coding RNA is filed under the name Olea europaea (common olive). RNAcentral describes it as "long non-coding RNA (OEUR_LNC008556)". The record is from RNAcentral. Lineage: Eukaryota; Viridiplantae; Streptophyta; Magnoliopsida; Lamiales; Oleaceae.
GGCGUUCGAAGAAUUGAGCGUAACUUUUGAAUACGGUGCCCGUUUUGGGCCCAUAAGCACUUUUCUGAAAUGUAGCGACCGUAUUGGAUUGAACUCACCGCUUCGUCGUGAAGCAUGAGGGAUUUUGCCCAUUUUUCAAAAGAAUGAGCACUUGCAUAUUUGGAACGCUUGGAUUGUCGGCGUUCGAAGAAUUGAGCGUAAC